This 440-nucleotide ribosomal RNA is filed under the name uncultured bacterium. Its description in RNAcentral is "partial 16S ribosomal RNA". It matches the Rfam family "Bacterial small subunit ribosomal RNA", at positions 338 to 795 of the family's 1533-position model. The record is from RNAcentral.
CCUACGGGAGGCUGCAGUGGGGAAUAUUGCACAAUGGGGGAAACCCUGAUGCAGCGACGCCGCGUGAGUGAAGAAGUAAUUCGUUAUGUAAAGCUCUAUCAGCAGGGAAGAAAAUGACGGUACCUGAGUAAGAAGCCCCGGCUAACUACGUGCCAGCAGCCGCGGUAAUACGUAGGGGGCAAGCGUUAUCCGGAUUUACUGGGUGUAAAGGGAGCGUAGACGGCAGUGCAAGUCUGGAGUGAAAGGCGGGGGCUCAACCCCCGGACUGCUCUGGAAACUGUACGGCUGGAGUGCAGGAGAGGGAAGUGGAAUUCCUAGUGUAGCGGUGAAAGGCGUAGAUAUUAGGAGGAACACCAGUGGCGAAGGCGGCCUGCUGGGCUUUAACUGACGCUGAGGCUCGAAAGCGUGGGGAGCAAACAGGAUUAGAUACCCCUGUAGUC